GUGUCAGCAGCCGCGGUAAUACGUAGGGGGCGAGCGUUGUCCGAAUUUACUGGGCGUAAAGCGCGCGUAGGCGGGUUAUUAAGUUGGUGGUGAAAUCCCGGGGCUCAACCCCGGAACUGCCUCCAAAACUGGUAGCCUUGAGGUAUGGAGAGGGAAGUGGAAUUCCAGGUGUAGCGGUGAAAUGCGUAGAUAUCUGGAGGAACACCCGUGGCGAAGGCGGCUUCCUGGCCAUAUCCUGACGCUGAGGUGCGAAAGCUAGGGGAGCGAACGGGAUUAGAUACCCCUGUAGUCC
This 292-nucleotide ribosomal RNA is filed under the name uncultured bacterium. RNAcentral's name for it is "partial 16S ribosomal RNA". It matches the Rfam family "Bacterial small subunit ribosomal RNA", at positions 505 to 796 of the family's 1533-position model. The record is from RNAcentral.